This 1484-nucleotide ribosomal RNA is filed under the name Hibiscus syriacus. Its description in RNAcentral is "SSU rRNA". The stretch from base 1 to 1103 matches the Rfam family "Eukaryotic small subunit ribosomal RNA", at positions 6 to 1116 of the family's 1831-position model. Lineage: Eukaryota; Viridiplantae; Streptophyta; Magnoliopsida; Malvales; Malvaceae. The record is from RNAcentral.
GGUUGAUCCUACCAGUAGUCAUAUGCUUGUCUCAAAGAUUAAGCUAUGCAUUUGUAAGUAUGAACUAAUUCAGGCUGUGAAACUGCGAAUGGCUCAUUAAAUCAGUUAUAGUUUGUUUGAUGGUAUUUGCUACUCGGAUAACCGUAGCAAUUCUAGAGCUAAUACGUGCAACAAACCCCGACUUCUGGAAGGGAUGCAUUUAUUAGAUAAAAGGUCAAUGCGGGCUUUGCCCGUUGCUCUGAUGAUUCAUGAUAACUCGACGGAUCGCACGACCUUUGUGUCGGCGACGCAUCAUUCAAAUUUCUGCCCUAUCAACUUUCGAUGGUAGGAUAAUGGCCUACUAUGGUGGUGACAGGUGACGGAGAAUUAGGGUUCGAUUCUGGAGAGGGAGCCUGAGAAACGAUUACCACAUCCAAGGAAGGCAACAAGCGCGCAAAUUACCCAAUCCUGACACGGGGAGGUAGUGACAAUAAAUAACAAUACCGGGCUCUACGAGUCUGAUAAUUGGAAUGAGUACAAUCUAAAUCCCUUAACUAUGAUCCAUUGGAGGGCAAGUAUGGUGCUAGCAGUCGCGGUAAUUCCAGCUCCAAUAGCGUAUAUUUAAGUUGUAGUUAAAAAGCUCGUAGUUGGACCUAGGGGUGGGUCGGCCGGUCCGCCUCACGAUGAGCAUCGAUCUGCUCGUCCCUACUGUCGGCGAUGCACUCCUGGCCUUAAUUGGCCGGGUCGUUCCUCCGGCGCUGUUACUUUGAAGAAAUUAGAGUGCUUAAAGCAGGCCUACACUUGUAUACAUUAGCAUGGGAUAACAUCACAGGAUUUCGAUCCUAUUAUGUUGGCCCUUCGGGAUCGGAGUAAUGAUUAACAGGGACAGUCGGGGGCAUUCGUAUUUCAUAGUCAGAGGUGAAAUUCAUGGAUUUAUGAAAGACGAACAACUGCAAAAGCAUUUGCCAAUGAUGUUUUCAUUAAUCAAGAAAGAAAGUUGGGGGCUCAAAGACAAUCAGAUACCGUCCUAGUCUCAACCAUAAACGAUGCCGACCAGGGAUCGACGGAUGUUGCUUUUAGGACUUCGCCGGCACCUUAUAAGAAAUCAAAGUCUUUGGGUUCCGGGGGGAGCCGUACCCUCCACUCUACAUCAGAAACUCAAAUUUAUAAUGGAAUUUUAAUAUUUUUUUCGAUUGGAGAAAGAAUCGAUUGCUUCAAGGUAUGAUAGAUCAGUUAUUCUCAAUAGGAAAUAGUUUAAUAUUAUUAUCUUUCAUCCAAAAUUUCUAAAUAUGUUAUUUUAGGGAAUCUUAAAUUAAAUUAGACUCGAACUUGUACCGAUUUAGGGCGUUGUGGGGGUGCUAGUCCUUCCCCACACGUAACCGACUCCCGAACUCAAAUUUUGGUAACAUAGACCCCAAGUUUGUCUUUUCAAUUAAAAUUAAUAUUUUAUUAAAAUGACAAAUUUAUUUUUGGGUGCCCAAUCACACCCUAAUCAAAGAUUGGUG